Molecule: small RNA, 206 nt
Filed under: Thermophilibacter provencensis
Lineage: Bacteria; Bacillati; Actinomycetota; Coriobacteriia; Coriobacteriales; Atopobiaceae
Also listed under: 1 other name
Description: RT-2 RNA
Rfam family: RT-2 RNA
About the family: Coriobacteriales (Actinobacteria), Clostridiales (Firmicutes). Downstream gene
Source: RNAcentral
UGCCAGACCGAGUAAGCGAGAGCCGAAAGCCGAGCGCAAAGAGGAAGGAAGGCGCGACCAUCGGCCUCAGCGCCGUAAAUAUGCACCCCGCGCGGGGAGCCGGACGCUUCUUGCAUGGCCGGGCGCUCCGGCGCUCAGCCCGGUUUCAUGGCCUCCCCGCAAAGCGGCUGUUCGAGCGCCACUGCUAGCCGUGCGGGGUGCCCUCC